UUAACAUUUAACCCCUAAAAAGAGGUUAAAUAUUAAUGAGGUUAAAAAUUAACUUACUCACUUUAAAGCGUCCAAACAAUAUUAAAAAUUAUAAGGUUAAUUAUUAACCCUUAUUAAUCUCAUACCAAACACACCCUUAGAAUGAAAAGCAAGAGAUGAACUCUUUUAAUGCUGUCCUGAUAUAGAAUGUAAACUCUUGACAAUAGCUCUCCUUAUUGUCAAUUUGACAAAAUAUGCUCAAUCUACAAUUUUGUAUUUUCCAUCUUAUAAGUGUCUGUAUAAAAUAAAAUGAGACAAUUAUCAAAAAUUGAAUUGAGGGGUGAUUGAAAAUAAAAUAAAACAAAACAUAUAAAAUAAAAUUAACCAAAACAAAACAAAAAAAACUUAGGGUGCCUCUCAAGAGUGCUAAUUUAUGGUCUUUAGCUUGAUCCCUUUAGAUAUGCUAAUCAAAAAACGGCUUCCUUCCAUAAUAAUUGUUAUAUAACAUGACAUAUGGAUCUUGAUAUAAAGUGCCCUCAAGAUUGGCAAAAUUUGAAGCAAAAUUGCAUGUAGUACGAACAACACUUGGAGUGGAAUCACAUGCUUGGGUUGAAGAAAGUUUUAGCUUAUGGAAGAUAUAAAAUGGUGAAGGAGGUAUCCAUGAGA
RNAcentral lists this unclassified non-coding RNA (645 nucleotides) under Hevea brasiliensis (rubber tree). The record is from RNAcentral. Lineage: Eukaryota; Viridiplantae; Streptophyta; Magnoliopsida; Malpighiales; Euphorbiaceae.